GCCCGGCUGACUCAAUUGGUAGAGCAUGCGACUCUUGAUCGUAGGGUGAGUUCGAGCCUCACGUUGGGGG
Molecule: transfer RNA, 70 nt
Filed under: Felis catus (domestic cat)
Lineage: Eukaryota; Metazoa; Chordata; Mammalia; Carnivora; Felidae
Rfam family: tRNA
About the family: Transfer RNA (tRNA) molecules are approximately 80 nucleotides in length. Their secondary structure includes four short double-helical elements and three loops (D, anti-codon, and T loops).
Source: Rfam by way of RNAcentral